UUCGAACAAACCAACCUACAGUUUCCAAAAUCGCAAUUUCAAACCUCCUAACAACAAUGACCAAAAAUAGGUCAAUGUAACAACACCCAGAGAAAAGAAAACUGAAAUGCAAUUUCAAACCUCAAAUAUAAGCGAUUCAAACUUACCACCAGCAAAAGGCGACUAGAACUCGACCUUCCAGUUCGAAGAAACCAACCUAGGGUUUCGAAAGUCGCGAUUUCAAACCUCUAAACAGCAAUAACCAAAAAUUGGUCAAUGUAACAACAAAAAGACAAAACGAAAAUACAAAUUAGCCUCAAAGCUUCAAUUACUCACCGCGUUCGACAAAUGAAAUCGUAAUCCACACAACUCGCGAUGGCAAAGUUCCAGCGAAAGAAACAAUGACGCGGAAGAAACGAGUCGGAGAUAGAGAGGGAUAAGAGAAGAGCUGUGGGACUGACAGUGAAGAAGUUCAGUGAAGAAGAGGUGCGGGAAUGAAGGUUCGCGAAGAGG
Molecule: long non-coding RNA, 492 nt
Filed under: Vigna radiata
Lineage: Eukaryota; Viridiplantae; Streptophyta; Magnoliopsida; Fabales; Fabaceae
Description: long non-coding RNA (VRAD_LNC018204)
Source: RNAcentral